GGGUUUCGGGGAGGGGGG
This 18-nucleotide microRNA is filed under the name Macrophomina phaseolina MS6. RNAcentral's name for it is "miR-4281". Lineage: Eukaryota; Fungi; Ascomycota; Dothideomycetes; Botryosphaeriales; Botryosphaeriaceae. The record is from RNAcentral.